Molecule: ribosomal RNA, 308 nt
Filed under: uncultured bacterium
Lineage: Bacteria
Description: partial 16S ribosomal RNA
Rfam family: Bacterial small subunit ribosomal RNA
Source: RNAcentral
GAGACAGCAGCCGCCGCGGUAAAACGAAGGGUGCAAGCGUUAAUCGGAAUUACUGGGCGUAAAGCGUGCGUAGGCGGUGAGUUAAGUCUGCUGUGAAAUCCCCGGGCUCAACCUGGGAAUGGCAGUGGAUACUGGCUCGCUAGAGUGUGUCAGAGGAUGGUGGAAUUCCCGGUGUAGCGGUGAAAUGCGUAGAGAUCGGGAGGAACAUCAGUGGCGAAGGCGGCCAUCUGGGACAACACUGACGCUGAGGCACGAAAGCGUGGGGAGCAAACAGGAUUAGAUACCCGAGUAGUCCCUGUCUCUUAUAC